RNAcentral lists this long non-coding RNA (557 nucleotides) under Brassica napus (rape). RNAcentral describes it as "long non-coding RNA (BNAP_LNC007109)". Lineage: Eukaryota; Viridiplantae; Streptophyta; Magnoliopsida; Brassicales; Brassicaceae. The record is from RNAcentral.
GGAGAGAGAGAGAGAGAGAACUGGCCUUUGAGAGAGCUGAGGCGUGAGAGAUGGUGAAGAGAGGUGUGAGAGAUGGAGAAGAGAGAUCGUGAGAGAUGGUGAAGAGAGGUGUGAGAGAGAUCGUGAAGAGAGGCGUGAGAGAUGGUGAAGGAGAGAGAGAGAGAGAGAGCUGAGGCGUGAGAGAUGCUGAAGAGAGGCGUGAGAGAUAGUGGAGAGAGAGAGAGAGAGAGCUGAGGCGUGAGAGAAGAGAGACUUGAGAGAUGGCGAAGAGAGAGAGAGAGAGAGAGAGAGCUGAGGCCUGAGAAAGUUUUAGGUUAAGGGUAUUGUUUUGUAAUUUUGAAGAUAGAUUAAGGGUGUUUUUGUAUUUUGAAAUUUUUUUUUUUUGAUCGCAGAUUUUUGGUCACAAACGCUGAAUUUUUCGGCGAUCAAAAUUUUUAAUCGCGGGUCGCUAGCGUCUGGUCGCUGCGAUCAGUCGCUGAGUCCGCGACUGGUAAACGAACAACGUUUAGUCGCUGAAGUUGGUCGCUGACGCUAGCGACCUUCAAACGAACAGGGCC